This 433-nucleotide ribosomal RNA is filed under the name uncultured bacterium. RNAcentral describes it as "bacterial SSU rRNA". It matches the Rfam family "Bacterial small subunit ribosomal RNA", at positions 958 to 1392 of the family's 1533-position model. The record is from RNAcentral.
AACGCGAAGAACCUUACCCAGGCUUGACAUGCAGAUGACGAUAUUAGAGAUAGUAUUUCCCUUCGGGGCAUUUGCACAGGUGCUGCAUGGCUGUCGUCAGCUCGUGCCGUGAGGUGUUUGGUUAAGUCCAGCAACGAGCGCAACCCUUAUCAUUAGUUGCCAACAUUUAAGGUGGGAACUCCAAUGAGACUGCCUGGGUUAACCAGGAGGAAGGUGAGGAUGACGUCAAGUCCGCAUGGCCCUUAUGUCUGGGGCUACACACGUGCUACAAUGGUCGGUACAGAAGGCAGCGAAACCGCAAGGCGGAGCAAAUCCCGAAAGCCGAUCUCAGUUCAGAUUGUAGUCUGCAACUCGACUACAUGAAGACGGAAUUGCUAGUAAUGGUGGGUCAGCAACACCACCGUGAAUACGUUCCCGGGUCUUGUACACACCG